RNAcentral lists this long non-coding RNA (314 nucleotides) under Struthio camelus australis. Its description in RNAcentral is "lncRNA (ENSSCUG00000009620.1)". The record is from RNAcentral. Lineage: Eukaryota; Metazoa; Chordata; Aves; Struthioniformes; Struthionidae.
CACAAGGUCCUGGACCAUAUUACUACCCCAAAUAGCUUACUACUGUAGCCUACUGUCUUAUCUGGCUGAGGCAGAUUAAGAUGAGCGUACUGACAGUGGCUUUGGUCUUCGUGCAACUCUGAGUUCAACAGUUCCCAGAAGCUGCUGAUUCCUUUCCACUGAUUAGCCCAUAAGGCACACAGAGAUGACAAAUAUCAUGUGACGAACCUACACGAAGCUAAAAGGGGAAGUUUGCAAAAAUGUGCUGGAAUCCUCAGGCUGGAAGAAGCAGAACUAUGAAGAGGAGUUGACAACUGGGAAUCCACACCUGAAGA